UUAUCUAUAAUGAUCAGGUAA
Molecule: unclassified non-coding RNA, 21 nt
Filed under: synthetic construct
Description: siRNA from synthetic construct (PDB 5JS1, chain B)
Source: RNAcentral